AGCGAACGCUGGCGGCAGGCCUAACACAUGCAAGUCGAACGAACUCUUCGGAGUUAGUGGCGGACGGGUGAGUAACACGUGGGAACGUGCCUUUUGGUUCGGAAUAACUCAGGGAAACUUGUGCUAAUACCGAAUGUGCCCUUCGGGGGAAAGAUUUAUCGCCAUUAGAGCGGCCCGCGUCUGAUUAGCUAGUUGGUGAGGUAACGGCUCACCAAGGCGACGAUCAGUAGCUGGUCUGAGAGGAUGACCAGCCUCACUGGGACUGAGACACGGCCCAGACUCCUACGGGAGGCAGCAGUGGGGAAUCUUGCGCAAUGGGCGAAAGCCUGACGCAGCCAUGCCGCGUGAAUGAUGAAGGUCUUAGGAUUGUAAAAUUCUUUCACCGGGGACGAUAAUGACGGUACCCGGAGAAGAAGCCCCGGCUAACUUCGUG
RNAcentral lists this ribosomal RNA (433 nucleotides) under uncultured bacterium. RNAcentral's name for it is "partial 16S ribosomal RNA". It matches the Rfam family "Bacterial small subunit ribosomal RNA", at positions 29 to 507 of the family's 1533-position model. The record is from RNAcentral.